GGGUGUGAGGGCGAUCUGGCUGUGACAUCUGUCACCCCAUUGAUCAGCAGGGUUGAUCAGCUGAUCUGGCUGGCUGGGUGGGCGUGCCCUUCCUCCCUCACUGCUGCAUGAGUUUCCCUCCUAAAGCUGGGUGCUCAGUUGGUCGGUCGAGGAGGAUGACCACCCCCGUUACAAGAGGACCAUUUCCUUGGUCAAGGGUAUAGGAGUCGCUACUCUCCCCUGCCAGGACAUCCAAACAAACUCUCAAAAUUGUAGAUCCUGGAAGAAAACCACACAUCUGAAAUCACAGAAAAGAAUUUUUUUCUUUUCUUUUGGUU
Molecule: small nuclear RNA, 317 nt
Filed under: Heterocephalus glaber (naked mole-rat)
Lineage: Eukaryota; Metazoa; Chordata; Mammalia; Rodentia; Bathyergidae
Description: 7SK RNA
Rfam family: 7SK RNA
About the family: 7SK was discovered as an abundant small nuclear RNA in the mid-70s but a possible function has only recently been suggested.
Source: Rfam by way of RNAcentral